UGUGAGCAUCGAACACCCGUGACUGCGCAUGUAUCUCGAUAAAUCGUUUAGGCGCAUGCGCAGGCACACCUCAACCACUCGCACAGCUGAACAGGAACCCUGGAACUUGGCUUUAGAGACUUCCGGAACUAAACGCUUGCGUUGUGGAGUUUGUGUACACCCUAGCGGUCACAAAAAAGUCACUUGUUUGAAGAUUUGAGAGAUAUAGUGAAAA
Long non-coding RNA from Pecten maximus, 214 nucleotides. RefSeq lists it as uncharacterized. The transcript has 2 exons. NCBI's taxonomy places the organism in Eukaryota, Metazoa, Mollusca, Bivalvia, Pectinida, Pectinidae. The record is from RefSeq and is a predicted model, not a curated record.